This 468-nucleotide ribosomal RNA is filed under the name uncultured bacterium. Its description in RNAcentral is "partial 16S ribosomal RNA". It matches the Rfam family "Bacterial small subunit ribosomal RNA", at positions 28 to 507 of the family's 1533-position model. The record is from RNAcentral.
GACGAACGCUGGCGGCGUGCUUAACACAUGCAAGUCGAACGGAAAGGCCCUGCUUUUGUGGGGUGCUCGAGUGGCGAACGGGUGAGUAACACGUGAGUAACCUGCCCUUGACUUUGGGAUAACUUCAGGAAACUGGGGCUAAUACCGGAUAGGAGCUCCUGCUGCAUGGUGGGGGUUGGAACGUUUCGGCGGUUGGGGAUGGACUCGCGGCUUAUCAGCUUGUUGGUGGGGUAGUGGCUUACCAAGGCUUUGACGGGUAGCCGGCCUGAGAGGGUGACCGGCCACAUUGGGACUGAGAUACGGCCCAGACUCCUACGGGAGGCAGCAGUGGGGAAUAUUGCACAAUGGGCGGAAGCCUGAUGCAGCAACACCGCGUGCGGGAUGACGGCCUUCGGGUUGUAAACCGCUUUCGCCUGUGACGAAGCGUGAGUGACGGUAAUGGGUAAAGAAGCACCGGCUAACUACGUG